GAUGAACGCUGGCGGCGUGCCUAAUACAUGCAAGUCGAGCGAACAGACGAGGAGCUUGCUCCUCUGACGUUAGCGGCGGACGGGUGAGUAACACGUGGAUAACCUACCUAUAAGACUGGGAUAACUUCGGGAAACCGGAGCUAAUAACGGAUAAUCUAUUGAACCGCAUUGUUCAAUAGUGAAAGACGGUUUUGCUGUCACUUAUAGAUGGAUCCGCGCCGCAUUAGCUAGUUGGUAAGGUAACGGCUUACCAAGGCAACGAUGCGUAGCCGACCUGAGAGGGUGAUCGGCCACACUGGAACUGAGACACGGUCCAGACUCCUACGGGAGGCAGCAGUAGGGAAUCUUCCGCAAUGGGCGAAAGCCUGACGGAGCAACGCCGCGUGAGUGAUGAAGGUCUUCGGAUCGUAAAACUCUGUUAUUAGGGAAGAACAAAUGUGUAAGUAACUAUGCACGUCUUGACGGUACCUAAUCAGAAAGCCACGGCUAACUACGUG
Molecule: ribosomal RNA, 497 nt
Filed under: uncultured bacterium
Lineage: Bacteria
Description: partial 16S ribosomal RNA
Rfam family: Bacterial small subunit ribosomal RNA
Source: RNAcentral